AUUAUCGACUUGCUCAUCUGAUCACCAUCAUUGCUUGUGCGUGCCUGGCUGGUGAAGUGGAUGAUUUUGUCAUCACUACACAAUCUUUACUCAACAGGGUGGUUCUUGGAUUAGGUCAACAACUUGAGGUAACCGGACAGGCUGCUGAAUCCAUAAAAAGCGUGAUACAGACGGGUGAAAAUGAAAUGACUCCGUCAGUCAAAGCUCAGCCUUGGGAAGGGAAGAGAUACGGGACAAGAUGAGGAGACUGAGAGAAAAAGAAAGAGAGAAGGUGAUGGAGAUGAGAGAGGAAAAGCAGAGAGGUAGCAGCGCCUUGGCAGUGAUCUAUUCUUCACGCUAGGAGGUCAUUCGAGGCUUUCCACAGUUUUUCAGCAUGUGCACAAAUGUAAUAAAAACAGGACAGAGCCUGUAUGUUGUGCAUAGAAUAUACGCCAUACUGCCAAUGAAUGCACUUGAAUG
This is a long non-coding RNA of Sebastes umbrosus (honeycomb rockfish), 459 nucleotides long. RefSeq lists it as uncharacterized. The record is from RefSeq and is a predicted model, not a curated record. NCBI's taxonomy places the organism in Eukaryota, Metazoa, Chordata, Actinopteri, Perciformes, Sebastidae. The transcript is spliced from 3 exons.